Molecule: long non-coding RNA, 597 nt
Organism: Myotis daubentonii (Daubenton's bat)
Lineage: Eukaryota; Metazoa; Chordata; Mammalia; Chiroptera; Vespertilionidae
Exons: 2
Source: RefSeq, a predicted model, not a curated record
CUCUAAGCAAGUCAAUAUGCUUUCUGCACCCCACCAUUCCUCUCUGCUUCUAAGGCCAUUUUAUAUGUCUCCUAUGAUGUUCCCACCCUCUUGGCCAAAGGCAUUGAUCUUUCUCAGGUCUUCCUGAGAAAUUCUUUCCAAACCUAACCCCCACCCCAUUCAGAUAAAAUAUGUGUUUUCAAAUGUAUGAGUAUCUGUUUUUUCAGCACCAAACUGUAAAUCCCUAAGAUAUGUUGGCACCUUCUCACAGGCUCCCUAUACUGGACUCAUGAAUCAACAUCAUUGCUCUGUGAUAUCUAUGCAAAGUGUCCCCUUGGGGGUUUGACCUGGAGACUGAUUGCUCACUAUGACAUGAGUUGACCACCAGGGGGCGGUGCAGAACAAAGGACGGCUCCAGCCAGCAGUCGGAAGGCCCCAAUUGGCCUUGAUGGCCAGCCAGGCCUAGGGACCCUACCUAUGCACGAAUUUCGUGCACUGGGCCUCUAGUAUUAAUAUAUUACGGAUCCUGUGCUCAAAUAUGUUUGGAAAAUAAUACUGCUCUAUGUCAUGUCCUUCCAAAAAUGUUGAGAAAUAACAAUAUAUGUUUCAUAAAAUAUA